Molecule: ribosomal RNA, 209 nt
Filed under: uncultured eukaryote
Lineage: Eukaryota
Description: partial 18S ribosomal RNA
Rfam family: Eukaryotic small subunit ribosomal RNA
Source: RNAcentral
UGGUGGAGUGAUUUGUCUGGUUAAUUCCGUUAACGAGCGAGACCGCGACUUACUAAAUAGCCACGCUAAUAGUCUGUAUGAGUGAAGCUGCGAUGGCGUGCGUGGUCUAACGACCUGCUCCCAGCGCAAGGGAUCUUUGACUUAUUGGUGGAUGUGCUUCUUAGAAGGACUGCCUAGGCUUAACUAGGAGGAAGUUCGCGGCGAUAACA